GCCGGGCCCGCCGUCAGCACGUCACGUCACUGCCCGAGAGAGACCCAGGAAAAGGCGGAAGGGAGCGCGCUGCGGCCGCUGCUCGCUGCCUCGGGCCAGCCGCCCGCCGGGGCCGGGGCCGUCGGACGGGGGCCGCUGCCGGCCGAGGCGAGCCGGCGCGGAAAAGAAUUGCUGUUCGUCCAUGAAAGAUGCAUCGUAAAGUUUCUGAGGCAUCAGAAAUCACGUACCAUGAGUAAGUGACCUCAUGGGCAUGAGGAGGUACAUUCAGUUUGGUUGGAGUUCUUGCGUAAUUGUGGGGUCAGGGCUCGAGGAGGCUGCUUCGCCUCCUGUUAUUGCCAUUUAAGCAAACUGGAAGGAAAUUGGCUGUUGCACUUAUCAAAUGAUGCAAAUGUGACUUAUCUGGCCCAGAACAGCAUACGUGCAGUGUUUAUGUUGCGAAUGAGCCUUUGGGUUCAGCCUUGACUCAGCUUUAAUUUUAGGCACUGGACUUCUCUAUCUUAACACGCAGGCU
Long non-coding RNA from Strigops habroptila (Kakapo), 511 nucleotides. RefSeq lists it as uncharacterized. The record is from RefSeq and is a predicted model, not a curated record. The transcript is spliced from 2 exons. NCBI's taxonomy places the organism in Eukaryota, Metazoa, Chordata, Aves, Psittaciformes, Psittacidae.